GACACAGACGAGUUUCCGCGUUACACGCACGACCCAUAGACGAAAUAUUUUUAUUCUUCUUCUUAACUUUGAAAUAAAACGUCUAGCGUUUCUACACAGUUGUGGGGUGAGUGGCCUUGAUAUUCUUCUGUGGGCGUGAUUUAUUUACCCGCCAAACAGCAAGGAGUGGAGAGCAUGGAGAGAGCCUCGACAGCAGAGUUCACACGACGAGUCGACGACCACAUUUUUGGUCGUGUUAGUUCGUGUGGAGUGGGAUGGAUGAGUUGUUAUUUUUUUUACAAUAAAAAAAAAUAGGUAGGAAAUAAGUCAAAAUGAAAUAAGUUUAG
Daphnia pulex (common water flea) is the source of this 326-nucleotide long non-coding RNA. RefSeq lists it as uncharacterized. The transcript has 3 exons. NCBI's taxonomy places the organism in Eukaryota, Metazoa, Arthropoda, Branchiopoda, Diplostraca, Daphniidae. The record is from RefSeq and is a predicted model, not a curated record.